RNAcentral lists this ribosomal RNA (2925 nucleotides) under Salmonella enterica subsp. enterica serovar Hadar. RNAcentral's name for it is "23S ribosomal RNA". It matches the Rfam family "Bacterial large subunit ribosomal RNA". The record is from RNAcentral. Lineage: Bacteria; Pseudomonadati; Pseudomonadota; Gammaproteobacteria; Enterobacterales; Enterobacteriaceae.
GGGUUGUGAGGUUAAGCGACUAAGCGUACACGGUGGAUGCCCUGGCAGUCAGAGGCGAUGAAGGGCGUGCUAAUCUGCGAUAAGCGCCGGUAAGGUGAUAUGAACCGUUAUAACCGGCGAUACCCGAAUGGGGAAACCCAGUGUGACUCGUCACACUAUCAUUAACUGAAUCCAUAGGUUAAUGAGGCGAACCGGGGGAACUGAAACAUCUAAGUACCCCGAGGAAAAGAAAUCAACCGAGAUUCCCCCAGUAGCGGCGAGCGAACGGGGAGGAGCCCAGAGCCUGAAUCAGCAUGUGUGUUAGUGGAAGCGUCUGGAAAGGCGCGCGAUACAGGGUGACAGCCCCGUACACAAAAGCGCAUGUGCUGUGAGCUCGAUGAGUAGGGCGGGACACGUGGUAUCCUGUCUGAAUAUGGGGGGACCAUCCUCCAAGGCUAAAUACUCCUGACUGACCGAUAGUGAACCAGUACCGUGAGGGAAAGGCGAAAAGAACCCCGGCGAGGGGAGUGAAAAAGAACCUGAAACCGUGUACGUACAAGCAGUGGGAGCACCCUUUGGGGUGUGACUGCGUACCUUUUGUAUAAUGGGUCAGCGACUUAUAUUCUGUAGCAAGGUUAACCGUAUAGGGGAGCCGUAGGGAAACCGAGUCUUAACCGGGCGUUAAGUUGCAGGGUAUAGACCCGAAACCCGGUGAUCUAGCCAUGGGCAGGUUGAAGGUUGGGUAACACUAACUGGAGGACCGAACCGACUAAUGUUGAAAAAUUAGCGGAUGACCUGUGGCUGGGGGUGAAAGGCCAAUCAAACCGGGAGAUAGCUGGUUCUCCCCGAAAGCUAUUUAGGUAGCGCCUCGUGAAUUCAUCUCCGGGGGUAGAGCACUGUUUCGGCUAGGGGGCCAUCCCGGCUUACCAACCCGAUGCAAACUGCGAAUACCGGAGAAUGUUAUCACGGGAGACACACGGCGGGUGCUAACGUCCGUCGUGAAGAGGGAAACAACCCAGACCGCCAGCUAAGGUCCCAAAGUCAUGGUUAAGUGGGAAACGAUGUGGGAAGGCCCAGACAGCCAGGAUGUUGGCUUAGAAGCAGCCAUCAUUUAAAGAAAGCGUAAUAGCUCACUGGUCGAGUCGGCCUGCGCGGAAGAUGUAACGGGGCUAAACCAUGCACCGAAGCUGCGGCAGCGACGCUUAUGCGUUGUUGGGUAGGGGAGCGUUCUGUAAGCCUGUGAAGGUGGCCUGUGAGGGUUGCUGGAGGUAUCAGAAGUGCGAAUGCUGACAUAAGUAACGAUAAAGCGGGUGAAAAGCCCGCUCGCCGGAAGACCAAGGGUUCCUGUCCAACGUUAAUCGGGGCAGGGUGAGUCGACCCCUAAGGCGAGGCCGAAAGGCGUAGUCGAUGGGAAACGGGUUAAUAUUCCCGUACUUGGUGUUACUGCGAAGGGGGGACGGAGAAGGCUAUGUUGGCCGGGCGACGGUUGUCCCGGUUUAAGCGUGUAGGCUGGUUUUCCAGGCAAAUCCGGAAAAUCAAGGCUGAGGCGUGAUGACGAGGCACUACGGUGCUGAAGCAACAAAUGCCCUGCUUCCAGGAAAAGCCUCUAAGCAUCAGGUAACAUCAAAUCGUACCCCAAACCGACACAGGUGGUCAGGUAGAGAAUACCAAGGCGCUUGAGAGAACUCGGGUGAAGGAACUAGGCAAAAUGGUGCCGUAACUUCGGGAGAAGGCACGCUGACACGUAGGUGAAGUGAUUUACUCACGGAGCUGAAGUCAGUCGAAGAUACCAGCUGGCUGCAACUGUUUAUUAAAAACACAGCACUGUGCAAACACGAAAGUGGACGUAUACGGUGUGACGCCUGCCCGGUGCCGGAAGGUUAAUUGAUGGGGUCAGCGCAAGCGAAGCUCCUGAUCGAAGCCCCGGUAAACGGCGGCCGUAACUAUAACGGUCCUAAGGUAGCGAAAUUCCUUGUCGGGUAAGUUCCGACCUGCACGAAUGGCGUAAUGAUGGCCAGGCUGUCUCCACCCGAGACUCAGUGAAAUUGAACUCGCUGUGAAGAUGCAGUGUACCCGCGGCAAGACGGAAAGACCCCGUGAACCUUUACUAUAGCUUGACACUGAACAUUGAGCCUUGAUGUGUAGGAUAGGUGGGAGGCUUUGAAGUGUGGACGCCAGUCUGCAUGGAGCCGACCUUGAAAUACCACCCUUUAAUGUUUGAUGUUCUAACGUGGACCCGUAAUCCGGGUUGCGGACAGUGUCUGGUGGGUAGUUUGACUGGGGCGGUCUCCUCCUAAAGAGUAACGGAGGAGCACGAAGGUUGGCUAAUCCUGGUCGGACAUCAGGAGGUUAGUGCAAUGGCAUAAGCCAGCUUGACUGCGAGCGUGACGGCGCGAGCAGGUGCGAAAGCAGGUCAUAGUGAUCCGGUGGUUCUGAAUGGAAGGGCCAUCGCUCAACGGAUAAAAGGUACUCCGGGGAUAACAGGCUGAUACCGCCCAAGAGUUCAUAUCGACGGCGGUGUUUGGCACCUCGAUGUCGGCUCAUCACAUCCUGGGGCUGAAGUAGGUCCCAAGGGUAUGGCUGUUCGCCAUUUAAAGUGGUACGCGAGCUGGGUUUAGAACGUCGUGAGACAGUUCGGUCCCUAUCUGCCGUGGGCGCUGGAGAACUGAGGGGGGCUGCUCCUAGUACGAGAGGACCGGAGUGGACGCAUCACUGGUGUUCGGGUUGUCAUGCCAAUGGCACUGCCCGGUAGCUAAAUGCGGAAGAGAUAAGUGCUGAAAGCAUCUAAGCACGAAACUUGCCCCGAGAUGAGUUCUCCCUGAGACUUUAAGUCUCCUGAAGGAACGUUGAAGACGACGACGUUGAUAGGCCGGGUGUGUAAGCGCAGCGAUGCGUUGAGCUAACCGGUACUAAUGAACCGUGAGGCUUAACCUUACAACGCCGAAG